AUAACUACUGGAAACGGUAGCUAAUACCGCAUAACGUCGCAAGACCAAAGAGGGGGACCUUCGGGCCUCUUGCCAUCAGAUGUGCCCAGAUGGGAUUAGCUAGUAGGUGGGGUAACGGCUCACCUAGGCGACGAUCCCUAGCUGGUCUGAGAGGAUGACCAGCCACACUGGAACUGAGACACGGUCCAGACUCCUACGGGAGGCAGCAGUGGGGAAUAUUGCACAAUGGGCGCAAGCCUGAUGCAGCCAUGCCGCGUGUAUGAAGAAGGCCUUCGGGUUGUAAAGUACUUUCAGCGAGGAGGAAGGUGUUGAGGUUAAUAACCUCAGCAAUUGACGUUACCCGCAGAAGAAGCACCGGCUAACUCCGUGCCAGCAGCCGCGGUAAUACGGAGGGUGCAAGCGUUAAUCGGAAUUACUGGGCGUAAAGCGCACGCAGGCGGUCUGUCAAGUCGGAUGUGAAAUCCCCGGGCUCAACCUGGGAACUGCAUUCGAAACUGGCAGGCUAGAGUCUUGUAGAGGGGGGUAGAAUUCCAGGUGUAGCGGUGAAAUGCGUAGAGAUCUGGAGGAAUACCGGUGGCGAAGGCGGCCCCCUGGACAAAGACUGACGCUCAGGUGCGAAAGCG
Molecule: ribosomal RNA, 623 nt
Filed under: uncultured bacterium
Lineage: Bacteria
Description: bacterial SSU rRNA
Rfam family: Bacterial small subunit ribosomal RNA
Source: RNAcentral